This 426-nucleotide ribosomal RNA is filed under the name uncultured bacterium. Its description in RNAcentral is "bacterial SSU rRNA". It matches the Rfam family "Bacterial small subunit ribosomal RNA", at positions 355 to 776 of the family's 1533-position model. The record is from RNAcentral.
UCGAGGAUAUUUAGCAAUGGGCGAAAGCCUGACUAUGUGACGCCGCGUGAGGGAUGAAGGUCUUCGGAUUGUAAACCUCUUUCGAUGGGGAAGAAAAUCCCCGACUUAACAUCGGGGACUGACGGUACCUAGAGAAGAAGCCAUGGCUAACUCUGUGCCAGCAGCCGCGGUAAUACAGAGAUGGCGAGCGUUACUCGGAUUUAUUGGGUGUAAAGGGCAGGUAGGCGGCUAUGCAAGUUGGGGGUGAAAUCCUGUGGCUCAACCACAGAACUGCCUUCAAAACUGCAUGGCUUGAGGCUAGAAGAGGAGAGCGGAAUUCCCGGUGUAAGAGUGAAAUCUGUAGAUAUCGGGAGGAACACCAGUGGCGCAAGCGGCUCUCUGGUCUGGCCCUGACGCUGAUCUGCGAAAGCUAGGGGAGCAAACAGG